ACACGACUACAUUAGAUACCCCGGUAGUCCUAGCCGUAAACGAUACUCGCUAGGUGUCGGCCACGGUGCGACCGUUGUCGGUGCCGUAGGGAAGCCGUGAAGCGAGCCACCUGGGAAGUACGGCCGCAAGGCUGAAACUUAAAGGAAUUGGCGGGGAGCACCACAACGGGCGGAGCUUGCGGUUUAAUUGGAUUCAACGCCGGAAAUCUUACCGGGACCGACAGCAACAUGAAGGCCAGGCUGAAGACUUUGCCGGAUUAGCUG
RNAcentral lists this ribosomal RNA (264 nucleotides) under uncultured archaeon. RNAcentral describes it as "partial 16S ribosomal RNA". It matches the Rfam family "Archaeal small subunit ribosomal RNA", at positions 717 to 982 of the family's 1478-position model. The record is from RNAcentral.